This 253-nucleotide ribosomal RNA is filed under the name uncultured bacterium. RNAcentral's name for it is "partial 16S ribosomal RNA". It matches the Rfam family "Bacterial small subunit ribosomal RNA", at positions 524 to 776 of the family's 1533-position model. The record is from RNAcentral.
UACAGGGGGCGCAAGCGUUGCUCGGAAUCACUGGGCGUAAAGCGUACGCAGGCGGGGCGUUAAGUCGGUUGUGAAAUCCCGGGGCUCAACCCCGGAACUGCAUUCGAUACUGGCGAUCUUGAGUACGGGAGAGGUGAGCGGAAUUCCUGGUGUAGAGGUGAAAUUCGUAGGUAUCAGGAGGAACACCGGUGGCGAAAGCGGCUCACUGGCCCGAUACUGACGCUCAUGUACGAAAGCGUGGGGAGCAAACAGG